Molecule: transfer RNA, 22 nt
Filed under: Elachistocleis cesarii
Lineage: Eukaryota; Metazoa; Chordata; Amphibia; Anura; Microhylidae
Description: partial tRNA-Phe
Source: RNAcentral
CCCUAAAAAGCUCUGCAGGCAC